This is a long non-coding RNA of Trachemys scripta elegans, 2934 nucleotides long. RefSeq lists it as uncharacterized. The transcript has 3 exons. NCBI's taxonomy places the organism in Eukaryota, Metazoa, Chordata, Testudines, Emydidae. The record is from RefSeq and is a predicted model, not a curated record.
UUUGGGUAACUUAAACGUCUAUCGCUACCUUCAGUUUUUUUCUAUUAUUAUUUAACUAGGAGUUGGCAGGGCCAGGAGAGAGAUCAUUGGAUAUGCCAAAACCUGCAUCUACCUCGAUCCUGCUAACGUUGUUCACAAGACCCCAAAUUCUCCCACCGAAAUAGAAAACACGCCUAACCACUUCCACUGUCUCCCCCCCCCCUCGAAAAUAUCCCAGCCCCUCCAACACAUUCCCACGCAACUGCCCCCCACCCCAACUCCGAUUCUGGCACCUGGAUCCUACUCAGUUUUGGCCCCACACCCUCCAAAUGGUAACGCUAAAGAACAAGUGUAGACGCUCCUCUUACACAAAAAACAAACAAAAAACCCACCUGGAUCCCAAUGCAUCCCACAGCGCCAGCGGCAUAAAUACGCAGAUGUGGGCCUAGGACCGGGCACUGUCAGUGUUUGGUCCUAGUCCCCGCAAAUGCGACCGCCCAAAGAGCAAGCAAGCUAUAGCGGUUCCUGCUGUACCUUGACUAUCCAGCCAAGGAUGAACCGCACCUCAGAUCUGGCAUGUUUUUUUGGCCACAGACCCACAAACGCUACUAUCAGAACACAGAAUAAGCCAUGAUUCUACCUGUCUCCCCCGAGUACCCCCCUGGCCCCAGCCCAUCCUCCUAACAGAGAGAUGCAAACACUAAUUUGACACCUGUAUCUUGCUGGAUCCAGCUGAUAUUUGGCUGCAUACAUCACACCCAUUUUCCCGUCUAAACGUAGUUCAGGCAGACUGGCAUUUUGCAGCUUGGGGCCAAAAACGGUAAGGAUUCAGUCUCGGGGGCGGAAUUGACCUGCUAUUACCGCCCUCUUGUUCCAGGAUGCAUGGCGGGUGGUGUUUUGCUCUUUGUUUAGGCAUUAUAAACUGGGGGUCAAAGCCAAAAUUGGCACGAUCCAGCGUUUAACAGCACUGUUGGAGGAGUGCAUCGGGGCCGGGUGUUUUGGGGAGCAGCAGGAGCGGCUCGAUUCGGUCUCUAUUAUGAUGGUACAAUUUGAGGUCUUGGGUACAAAGAAUUGGCAGGAUCCAUGUUUUACCCAGCCGCCUUCGGGGCGCUCUCCUCUAGUGAGGUUUGAAGGUGGGGGACCCGGUGAAACCGACAGUGUCCGAAAAACCCCAGGCGAGACCCAUCUUCUCUAAAAGUUCAAGGUGUCACUGAUGAGCUCGGCAAACUGUUGAUCCCGACCACGUGUAGCAGCCAGAGAAGCCGGUGAGAAUAAGGAAAGGGGCGGCAGCAUUGCAGAAAGGAGGCAGCAUGCUAAACAGCCUAUGCUCAUCAUUCACACAGUGUUCAGAUCUGCCUGAAUUUUGUCUGUUAGUGAAACAAAACAGAUCUGGGAUGAGGCAGGAAUGAAAGUCCUGGCCUUUUCGGGCUGUGACUAUCUGCAUCUUGUGUACCAGCUGAAAACAAAAUUCCAAUCAUUGUUUACAUUGUAAGGUCAUUGAUGAAACUGUCUUCCUUAUAAUAACUAGCUCUUUUAGAAUCAGGUCAGGCUACCUGGGGAGGUAGGAGGUUUUUUUUUUCAUGCUCUACUUCUAAUGUAGCUUUUUUAACCCUUUGUAUUUUUUUUAAAACUUCAGAUCACUCUUGUUUAUUAUUUUCUGGAAAAUACUGUUUCUCGGUUAAUGCCCGAAAUUCCCAUUCAUCUACUAUAAACAGAGGGAUCCUUUCACCAUUUAAAAUUAAGAUUUAAUGUCUUUUUGGCUUUAAACUACAAGGAUGUAGUGAGAUAGGUUGCACACUAUUUUUGAUUUACUUAAAUUCAUUUAAAAUUCAUAUUUACUGAUUGCAUCUGAGUUGAAAAUACCAGCCAUUUAUAGCAACCACAGGCUAAUAUGACUUGUGAGAAGCAUGUUAUCAUCUGAAUGGCAGGGGCACAUUAUCUAUUCUAAAUUAAUAUUUUAAUUGUGUAUAUAGAACUCUCCAAAAACCUGGAAUCUAGACUUGGUUUUAGAACCACCCCUGAAGUUUUCAAAUUGGCUUCACCUUAAUAGUAUUGUGGGGUGCAUAAUUAGAGCCCAGCUUGUACCUUUGAAACCAGCUGUACAACCUUGUUUGUUGAACUUUUUUUUUUUUUUCUGUCUAGAACGGGGGAUUGCAAGAUGCUUGUAUUCGAAUGUUUGAAGAAAAGCACCACGUUAUUGUAACUGAAUAAUCAUCUAAGAAGGAGUGCUGAUCACUUAUCGUGGGAACCAUCUGGUUUCUUCCUAUAGCGAUCAAGAGCUAGUCAUUGAACAAAGUAGAACAUGCAGCAUUUCACUCUGCUAUCAGGAAAAUACAUCGGACUCAACCUGAGGCCACUGAAAUGCUGAAUGCUGCAGGCACAGAAGAGAGAUAUUUAGCUUCAGAAUUCUGCCUUGAGAUUGCUGAGCUGUUCUGCUAUGGAAGAGCAUAUUCUCUGGUGACUCUUCUCCCGCCUCCCAGCUGCAAACCUUCUGGAAAUCAAAGGAGAUGCAGAGCACCGACAACACCAGAAACAGAUACUGUGUGGGCAGUGGCAACGCACAUUUUCCCCAUGCUACUCCAUCACUAUGUUUCAACCCUUGCCAGAGAGACCACCACUAGGAGGCGAGUGGCCCAGUUUUCAAGCCCAUUCAAUCUUCAGCCGCUCAGCUCAGAUUGCCGGUGAGGGUGAAAAUUGUGGUGAUGUUUUGUGGACAGCUGGACUGAAAUGACCAAAUUAAUUUCACAUGGGCUAUCUAACUGCCAUCACAUCAAAUGCUAUCCAUUGGCUAUCACUAAAGACUGAAAUCAAUAGGAGUCUUUUCACUGAUUUCAAUGGACUUUGAAUCAGACUGUAAGUUACAAACCAGGCUCCGACACUGCAAUACAUACUCAUUUGAGUAACUUUAAUUCCCUGAGACUACUUGCAUACAGAAAGGGCUCUAUGAGCUGUGGU